UAACUGCCGUGCCGAUGCAUUAGUUCUUAAUGUAACUGAGAAUACAGCACACUUGGAGGUUCGUGGGAAUGGAAAUCUUGUACUCUGUAUGUGUAAGUACUAAAACUUGCGUCGCCAUGCAAUCUGAGCCGUAGAUCGUUGUGAGAGCUGUACAGCCACAUUGGCAAAACACUACGCCCUGCGGAUGAAUACGGAACAAAUUUAUGCUAAAGAAAAGUGGUCGUCAUGCAAUUUCAUAGCAGUAAACCGUUGUGAAAGCUGUACAGUAACACUGAUAUUGGUUACGUGGUGCAGAUUCGUAGCGUUUCUGAGGUGCUUGUGCGCAAGGGUCCGUAAUGUCGGAUAGCUGCUCUGUGACCGAUGAAGAACAGCGUGGCCGUGAGGAUCACCUUUGCAAACAGAAGCGGGAGUGGGCACGAAAGCAUCGGCGACCAAUUGCAGUAUAUCACAGUGACCACAAAGCAAUGGUUAUCAUGGUGACAAAGUAAAUAGAAAAUCAAAGAUAACGAAGUUGUGUACGCAAGAUUGAUUUAUGCAGCAGGCGCUCCUUGGCUGCAUCUGCAAUGCUAGCUCAAGGCGAGAAUGCUUUGGGCACGUUGCCAUCUGCAUCCACAGUCAUCCUGGCACAACCGCCAUAGUGGAAAAGUAAAGUAUCAGCAACAUUCUCACACCUACACUGUCCUUAUUGAACUUUCCAAAAGGGGAACAUAUCCAAUAAGAUAAAGCACUAAUUUACUUUCAUGCUGAAGAUUCAUAACUCUUACAAAUUGAUGUGGUUUCUACCUGGUGAUCUUCACU
RNAcentral lists this long non-coding RNA (798 nucleotides) under Dermacentor andersoni. RNAcentral describes it as "uncharacterized LOC126519873". Lineage: Eukaryota; Metazoa; Arthropoda; Arachnida; Ixodida; Ixodidae. The record is from RNAcentral.